RNAcentral lists this ribosomal RNA (400 nucleotides) under uncultured Bacillus sp. RNAcentral's name for it is "bacterial SSU rRNA". It matches the Rfam family "Bacterial small subunit ribosomal RNA", at positions 975 to 1375 of the family's 1533-position model. The record is from RNAcentral. Lineage: Bacteria; Bacillati; Bacillota; Bacilli; Caryophanales; Bacillaceae.
CAGGUCUUGACAUCCUCUGACAGGCCUAGAGACAGGACUUUCCCCUUAGGGGACAGAGUGACAGGUGGUGCAUGGUUGUCGUCAGCUCGUGUCGUGAGAUGUUGGGUUAAGUCCCGCAACGAGCGCAACCCUGGUCCUUAGUUGCCAGCAUUCAGUUGGGCACUCUAAGGUGACUGCCGGUGACAAACCGGAGGAAGGUGGGGAUGACGUCAAAUCAUCAUGCCCCUUAUGACCUGGGCUACACACGUGCUACAAUGGAUGGUACAAAGGGCUGCGAGACCGCGAGGUUUAGCCAAUCCCACAAAACCGUUCCCAGUUCGGAUUGCAGGCUGCAACUCGCCUGCAUGAAGCCGGAAUCGCUAGUAAUCGCGRAUCAGCAUGCCGCGGUGAAUACGUUCCC